CAGUAACGGCGAGUGAAGCGGCAACAGCUCAAAUUUGAAAUCUGGCUCCUUCGGGGUCCGAAUUGUAAUUUGUAGAGAGUGCUUCGGGCGAGACCUCGGUCUAAGUCCAUUGGAACAUGGUGUCAUAGAGGGUGAGAAUCCCGUAUGCGACCGUGGCUCGAGCCCAUGUGAAGCCUCUUCGACGAGUCGAGUUGUUUGGGAAUGCAGCUCAAAAUGGGUGGUAAAUUUCAUCUAAAGCUAAAUACUGGCUGGAGACCGAUAGCGCACAAGUAGAGUGAUCGAAAGAUGAAAAGCACUUUGGAAAGAGAGUCAAACAGUACGUGAAAUUGUUGAAAGGGAAGCGCUUGCAACCAGACCUGCCCGUAGGCGAUCAGCCGCUGUUCUCAGCGGUGUACUCGCUCUGCGAUCAGGCCAGCAUCGGUUUCGGCGGUCGGAUAAAGACCUUGGGAAUGUAGCUUCCCUUCGGGGAAGUCUUAUAGCCCUCGGUGUAAUGCGGCCAGCCGGGACCGAGGACCGCGCUUCGGCUAGGAUGCUGGCGUAAUGGUUGUAAGCGACCCGUCUUGAAACACGGACCAAGGAGUCUAACAUCUAUGCGAGUGUUUGGGUGUCAAACCCAUACGCGGAAUGAAAGUGAACGGAGGUGAGAACCCUUAAGGGCGCAUCAUCGACCGAUCCAGAUGUCUUCGGAUGGAUUUGAGUAUGAGCAUAGCUGUUGGGACCCGAAAGAUGGUGAACUAUGCCUGAAUAGGGUGAAGCCAGAGGAAACUCUGGUGGAGGCUCGCAGCGGUUCUGACGUGCAAAUCGAUCGUCAAAUUUGGGUAUAGGGGCGAAAGACUAAUC
RNAcentral lists this ribosomal RNA (840 nucleotides) under Xanthoparmelia mexicana. RNAcentral's name for it is "eukaryotic LSU rRNA". It matches the Rfam family "Eukaryotic large subunit ribosomal RNA", at positions 81 to 936 of the family's 3401-position model. The record is from RNAcentral. RNAcentral also lists the same sequence under 10 other names. Lineage: Eukaryota; Fungi; Ascomycota; Lecanoromycetes; Lecanorales; Parmeliaceae.